Molecule: transfer RNA, 71 nt
Filed under: Klebsiella pneumoniae
Lineage: Bacteria; Pseudomonadati; Pseudomonadota; Gammaproteobacteria; Enterobacterales; Enterobacteriaceae
Description: tRNA-OTHER
Rfam family: tRNA
About the family: Transfer RNA (tRNA) molecules are approximately 80 nucleotides in length. Their secondary structure includes four short double-helical elements and three loops (D, anti-codon, and T loops). Further hydrogen bonds mediate the characteristic L-shaped molecular structure. tRNAs have two regions of fundamental functional importance: the anti-codon, which is responsible for specific mRNA codon recognition, and the 3' end, to which the tRNAs corresponding amino acid is attached (by aminoacyl-tRNA synthetases). tRNAs cope with the degeneracy of the genetic code in two manners: having more than one tRNA (with a specific anti-codon) for a particular amino acid; and 'wobble' base-pairing, i.e. permitting non-standard base-pairing at the 3rd anti-codon position.
Source: RNAcentral
GGGUCGUUAGUUGGUAGAGCAGUUGACUUUUAAUCAAUUGGUCGCAGGUUCGAAUCCUGCACGACCCACCA